RNAcentral lists this ribosomal RNA (253 nucleotides) under uncultured bacterium. RNAcentral's name for it is "partial 16S ribosomal RNA". It matches the Rfam family "Bacterial small subunit ribosomal RNA", at positions 524 to 776 of the family's 1533-position model. The record is from RNAcentral.
UACGUAGGGGGCAAGCGUUAAUCGGAAUUACUGGGCGUAAAGCGUGCGCAGGCGGUUUUGUAAGCCAGAUGUGAAAUCCCCGGGCUUAACCUGGGAAUGGCAUUUGGGACUGCAAGGCUCGAGUGCGGCAGAGGAGACUGGAAUUCCUGGUGUAGCAGUGAAAUGCGCAGAUAUCGGGAGGAACACCAAUGGCGAAGGCAGCUCGCUGGGACGGUACUGACGCUGAGACGCGAAAGCGUGGGGAGCAAACAGG